RNAcentral lists this ribosomal RNA (497 nucleotides) under uncultured bacterium. Its description in RNAcentral is "partial 16S ribosomal RNA". It matches the Rfam family "Bacterial small subunit ribosomal RNA", at positions 28 to 507 of the family's 1533-position model. The record is from RNAcentral.
GAUGAACGCUGGCGGCGUGCCUAAUACAUGCAAGUCGAGCGAACAGACGAGGAGCUUGCUCCUCUGACGUUAGCGGCGGACGGGUGAGUAACACGUGGAUAACCUACCUAUAAGACUGGGAUAACUUCGGGAAACCGGAGCUAAUACCGGAUAAUAUAUUGAACCGCAUGGUUCAAUAGUGAAAGACGGUUUUGCUGUCACUUAUAGAUGGAUCCGCGCCGCAUUAGCUAGUUGGUAAGGUAACGGCUUACCAAGGCAACGAUGCGUAGCCGACCUGAGAGGGUGAUCGGCCACACUGGAACGGAGACAGGGUCCAGACUACUACGGGAGGCAGCAGUAGGGAAUCUUCCGCAAUGGGCGAAAGCCUGACGGAGCAACGCCGCGUGAGUGAUGAAGGUCUUCGGAUCGUAAAACUCUGUUAUUAGGGAAGAACAAAUGUGUAAGUAACUAUGCACGUCUUGACGGUACCUAAUCAGAAAGCCACGGCUAACUACGUG